This is a long non-coding RNA of Camelus dromedarius (Arabian camel), 2522 nucleotides long. RefSeq lists it as uncharacterized. The record is from RefSeq and is a predicted model, not a curated record. Lineage: Eukaryota; Metazoa; Chordata; Mammalia; Artiodactyla; Camelidae. The transcript has 6 exons.
CCCCGAGCUGGUCCGCCGGCAGGUGUUAGACGUGGGGCCGCGCUCCAGCAGUCUCAUCCGCGAGGGCUCCUACCGCGUGGUGUGGUGCCAUGUUCCAGGAGAAUGUGGCCAAGGACGACAGGGCAUUUCCAGCUGGCCGCAGCAGACCUGAGCCUCAGCGAUGACAUCCUGCAGAGCUAGAAGAUCACCUGCUCCGUCAAGGUCAUCGAGGUCAACAACCCUUUUCAGGCCCUGCAGGAAGCUGGUUUAAUUUUGUAAAGGGACACUUCCCUUCAUCUACAGCCACCCAUUGAAGCAGUUCAUAGAGGAAAGGCAGUCUCCUACAAAAUCUGUAUAUAGUGCCAGACAUUGGACCCAUCCAGACUGAGAACUACCUGGGCCACCAGGAGUAAAACCUCAGACUGUCACAGUAAGUGAGCUGAGCUGAACUAGUCAACGGUUGAACUGUCUCGUGUGUCCUGUGUCCGGGGCUGAGAAAGCCGACCACUGUCAUCUGGCAGCACUGCCACCUGGGGUGAGGCUGUCAGUCUCUGCUUGGCUCCUCAAGGUCACAUCACAGCCUCUUCUGGAUCUGCUGUCCACAUUCCAGAUCUCAAUUUUUGAUCCAGUUUUUUGGACAUACUGCUUCCCCAAGUUCCUAUUCCUCCACCUCUGCCCACCUCAUUAGAGAACAGAAGAGGAUCUUCUCUGAGCUGCUUCCAAGGAACAGGCAGAUGAAAACCCCACUGUGGAUCCAAUCGCCUGCCUGGGAAAUGAAAGCAUCUUUGCCACAAGAAAAUCCUGGUUAGAAACUGCAUCUCUAAUUCCCCUGGGAAUGAAGAGACACCAAGCAGAGGGCCUCUGUGGUGGGUAAACGAAACCCAACUCAUCUGAAAAUCACUCCAUCUCCUCCCCUUCUUCUUGGUGUUUAGUGUAAGCAAACAGCCCAGGUCAUCACCACAUGGCUUUCAUUAGUUUUUUUACUUAAGAAGAGAAAAGUCAUCUAAAUGAGGACAAAUUCUCCAAAUCAAUGGUUGACUUCCUAAGGUCUCUUGUAGCUGAAAGUGGCCAGAUGAACGUCAGGCAGAUUAGAAGUGAGCAAAAGGAUCGUGUGGGCUGUGUGGGUUUUGGGGAGACUGUUUAGAUAGAGUAGAUGCAGCUGAGUUGGCCCUUUGACCCCUCCUCUUUCCUCAUUCCUGCCUCCGAGGUAAAGACACGGGGGACUGGACAAGGUUGGUGCUCCAGCAGCCAUUUUGGACCAAGAGACAGCCUUGAGGAUGGACAGCAGCUAAAGAUACUGAAAGGGUCUGAAAGAUGGAUAAUGGCUGACUACUGUGGUGUGCUGUUGACAGUAUGAACUCUCUACACUUGUAGUUCUUUUCCAUGAGAAAGGAAAAACCUUACCACUCUACGCCUGUGGUAUUCUGGGGUUUCUGCUCUAUUAGGGAAAUAUCGGCAUCCAAUGAGAGUGGUCCCGUCUGGCCAAGUCAGACAACCUGAGCUGCCCUGACUCUGACACCACAUCCCCUAUCAUUCUCUCUACUUAUGAGCUACACAACAUCUCAACCUUCUACAGGGUCUAAGGUAGAAAAGGGAUGUUCAGGGAUCUGUACUGAAUGUGUUUUCUAGGGGCAAAUUUGGUUUUACAUAGAGACUCUGGAAUGAUGAUUCUUAGUAACAUCCUACAAACCAACCCAGAGCCUGUGCUCCUAAGCCUCAGGGUAGAGCCUCAGCCCAAGCAGGCCUUCCUCUGGGCCCUUGAAUCUCUGCUUCAUCUGCUCCCAAUUUAAACAAGGGCUUCUGUUUUUCCCCCUCUUGGGAGACCUUGGAAUUUCCUUUGUGAGGACCUAUGUUCUCUGCACCGGGGGCUCCAUCUCUGGGCGGCGAGGAGGGAGGUCACUGACCGUGGUCUCACUAACUCAGACCAUGGGACCCCCUUGACCUUACUUUGAUGGACAUGUUGGCCCUCCUUCCUCGCCACUUGUGCUUUUGGGCAAAAGGCAGAGUCCCUUCCCCUGCAGAAGCUGAAUGACAGGAUGUUAGCCACCGGGGGUCUGGACCAGGAACAAAGCAGGGAGUCACUGCUGGGGGAGCCUGAGGGGUGGAAGGGCCUGUGCUCAGCUCUGAAGCUCCUGACCUGAAGCUCUGGCCUUCGCGUAGUUUCCUUGAGCACCUGAUAUGUUUUGUUACAACUGUUUCUGCUCAUAUGAGCUCAAGUGGGAGCCACUGCUGCAGCUAGGAAAUUCCGCUGGAGGGAACACAUCCAAGGCCUUGUCUUUAAUUUGGUGACACACCUUAUUUUUAAUACUUAAAAUUUAUAUUUAAAGCAAAAAACCCCAUGAUAAUCAGUCUUCUCAUACAUUACUCAGCCAGACACAACAGGCUACUGUAAUAUGAUAUCACCAGUAAGAAUAACCAGGGCUUGUAAAUUCACAGCCACAUCAGGCACAGUGGGUGUGCCAGCACUGAAGGGGAGGGGAGGCAGCAGAGCCUGACUCAUACUUACAGCACUUUCCUUUGAUCAAAAUGUUCUGGUAUAGAUA